RNAcentral lists this transfer RNA (76 nucleotides) under Marmota monax (woodchuck). Its description in RNAcentral is "tRNA.Ala". It matches the Rfam family "tRNA". Rfam says of the family: Transfer RNA (tRNA) molecules are approximately 80 nucleotides in length. Lineage: Eukaryota; Metazoa; Chordata; Mammalia; Rodentia; Sciuridae. The record is from RNAcentral.
CUGGGUGUGGCUCAGUGGUAGAGCACUUGCCUAGCAUGUGUAAGUAGGCUUUGGGUUUGAUUCCCCAGCACCCAAA